UUAAAUAUACAGUCUGGCCUGCCCACUGUAGUUUUGCUAUAAAGGGCUGCGGUACUUUGACCGUGCAAAGGUAGCAUAAUGAUUAGUCUUUUAAUUGAAGACUGGAAUGAACGGUCGGAUGAGGGACAUGCUGUCUCUUUUGGGUUAUUAGAAUUUAACUUUUUAGUGAAAAGGCUGAAAUAAACUGGGGGGACGAUAAGACCCUAUAAAACUUAAUAUUUGUUGUUUUGGUUUUAAGAUUUCUGUUUAAUUUAGAUUUAAACAAUAUAUAUUUCGUUGGGGAGAUGUUGACAUAAUAUGUAACUGUCUUAUUUAAUUUAAUAAAUUUAUUUAGAAUUAUGAUCCCUUAAUAAGGAUUAAUAGGUUAAGUUACUUUAGGGAUAACAGCGUAAUUUUCUUUGAGAGUUCUUAUCGACAAGAUUAGUUGCGACCUCGAUGUUGAAUUAAAAUUUCCGAUUAGUGUAGCCGCUUUUCUGGUGGGUCUGUUCGACCUUUAAAAUUUUACAUGAUUUGAGUUCAAACCGGUGUGAG
RNAcentral lists this ribosomal RNA (531 nucleotides) under Coralliocaris sandyi. Its description in RNAcentral is "partial 16S ribosomal RNA". It matches the Rfam family "Bacterial large subunit ribosomal RNA", at positions 1839 to 2625 of the family's 2925-position model. The record is from RNAcentral. Lineage: Eukaryota; Metazoa; Arthropoda; Malacostraca; Decapoda; Palaemonidae.